GUGCUAAAUUAGAAAUUACCUCCACACAGCGCUAACAGUGAAAACAAGGCAACAGUGUUUCCUUGGGGGGAACCGGAGAGUGGGCACUGACGCCAACGGUCGGGACAGCAGUAAAUAAAAACUGAGAGACACCAUGACCCAGAAGUAUCAACACAGCACCCACGAGCACCUCACGUGGACGAUGUGGACAAGCUGCAGCAGGAG
Molecule: long non-coding RNA, 204 nt
Organism: Sebastes umbrosus (honeycomb rockfish)
Lineage: Eukaryota; Metazoa; Chordata; Actinopteri; Perciformes; Sebastidae
Exons: 2
Source: RefSeq, a predicted model, not a curated record